GACGAACGCUGGCGGCGUGCUUAACACAUGCAAGUCGAGCGAUGAACCUUUCAUGAAUUUUUCGGAAUGAUUGGAAGAGGAUUAGCGGCGGACGGGUGAGUAACGCGUGAGCAACCUGCCUUAAACAACGGGAUAGCCUCGGGAAACCGGGAUUAAUACCGUAUGAGACCCCGCCUUCACAUGAAGAAGAGGUUAAAGAUUUAUCGGUUUAAGAUGGGCUCGCGUCUGAUUAGCUAGUUGGGGAGAUAAAAGCCCACCAAGGCAACGAUCAGUCACCGGCUUGCGAGAGUGAACGGUCACAUUGGAACUGCGACACGGUCCAAACUCCUACGGGAGGCAGCAGUGGGGAAUAUUUCACAAUGGGGGAAACCCUGAUGCAGCGACGCCGCGUGAGCGAUGAAGGAAUUCGUUUCGUAAAGCUCUGUCCAAGGGGAAGAUAAUGACAGUACCCUUGGAGGAAGCCCCGGCUAAAUACGUGCCAGCCGCCGCGGUAA
This 494-nucleotide ribosomal RNA is filed under the name uncultured bacterium. RNAcentral describes it as "partial 16S ribosomal RNA". It matches the Rfam family "Bacterial small subunit ribosomal RNA", at positions 28 to 523 of the family's 1533-position model. The record is from RNAcentral.